This is a long non-coding RNA of Lotus japonicus, 2271 nucleotides long. RefSeq lists it as uncharacterized. The transcript has 3 exons. The record is from RefSeq and is a predicted model, not a curated record. Lineage: Eukaryota; Viridiplantae; Streptophyta; Magnoliopsida; Fabales; Fabaceae.
UGUCUCCUAGAUUGAUCCUUUUGUACUUGGGUUAGGGCACCCCUUGUGCUCCCUAUUAAUUCAUUUGCUUAUAAAAAAAAAAAAGAGUUUGAGGAGGGAAAUAUUAGAGGACUUCUAUCAUUAUUUUUAAACCAUACAUUCUAGUUCUAGUAGACUGUAUCAAGAUGUGAAGGAAUUUUGUCGGUGCGAAGGAAUGAAGAAAGACAUAGUGAAUUUUGUUUAUAAAUGUUUAGUAUGACAUGGAUUGAAGGAUAAGCACUAAGAACUAGAAGAGCUAGGUCAAUUUAUCGAGAUAUCACUAUGGAAGUUGGAAAGUAUUGUUGUGAAUUUGGUGACAAGUUUUUUUAGGAUCAAAGGUUAUGAUUAUAUUUAGGUAAUCAUGGAUUAGUUGAUUAAGUUUGCAUAUUUCUUAUAAGUGAACACUACUUACAUUGCAACUCAAUAUGCUAAGUGUCGUUUGGAUGAGAUUAUUUCUUGCAUGGUGUACCCUUAGUUAUGUGUUCAUAUUGAGGAACUAUAUUCACUUUUUAGUUUUUCAAAUCGUUUCGAACUGCUUUAGGAACUCACUUGACAAUGAGGAUAGGUUUCCAUUCCCAAACAGGUGGCCAUUCUUAGAGACUAUUCAAAUCUUAUAGGAUAUGUUUCGUGUUUGUGUUUUAGACCUUAGAGAUAGUUGUGAUGAUUAUUUAACCCGGAUCAAGCUUGAUUAUAAUAACAAUUAUCAGUCUUGUAUUAAGAUGGCACCAUUUGAAGCCUUAUAUGGUAGGAGAUGAAGAUCACCUAUAGGUUGGUUCGAGGUUGGAGAAGCUAAACUUGUAGGCUCAGAACUUAUUCAGGACGCAAUAGAGAAGAUUAAGAUAGUUCAAGACCGCUUGGUUACAACUCAAAGUAGGCAGAAGUCAUAUGCUGAUAAGAGGCGACGCCCUUUGGAGUUUGCAGUUGGUGACCAUGUCUUUUUACGUGUUUCUCCAAUGAAAGGAGUGCUACGGUUUGGUAAAAAGGGAAAACUGAGUCCAAGGUUCAUUGGACCGUUUGAGGUAUUGGAGAGGGUUGGUUCUGUAUCUUAUCGUUUGGCACUUCCGCCAGAUCUUUCUGCAGUUCAUCCAGUCUUUCAUGUUUCUAUGCUGCGGAAGUACCUAUAUGAUCCUUCUCACAUCAUCCAUCAUGAGGAUGUACACGGAGCAUCCAGUAGCUAUAGUUGAUAGACAAGUGAAACGUCUACGUUCUAAAGAUGUUGGUUCAGUAAAAGUUCUUUGGAAAGGACCAUCGAGUGAAGAGGCGACUUGGGAGGCCGAGGAUAUCAUGCGGGAAAAGUAUCCCCACUUGUUCGAAUCUCAAGGUUAGUGUGACUUUAAAAUUCGAGGACGAAUUUUAUAUAAGGAGGGAAGAUUGAAACGACCCGUUUAAUGUUUAUGAGCUUAAUUAUUAUAAUUGUCAUUAUCAUAUUAUAUUAUAUAAAAGUGAUUAUGCAAGGAUGGGGGAGGAAAAAAAAAACGUGGUCUGAUUGAAAAGGGGGUGGGGUCACGUAACCCACCUUUUGUUUUUGAAAAUAAGAUACCCUAAUUGUUUAAAGAAAAACCAUUGAACCUACUCCCAAUAUUUCUUUCCCAGCCGUAACCUCCCUUUCUUCUUUCUCGACAUAUUCUCCUCCUUACUUCUCCCACAGAACUUCUUCAAUUUCUUCUUUUACUCUUGUUCCAAAGGAAAACAGCCCCAAUUCCCCUUUAAUAUAUAUCCAUUCACGAACAAGGUUGACGGGGUUUCAAAUGGAACAAACCUGGUUUAACUGUUUGGAGUAGGAGUGGUGCUUUGAAGGAGAAGUAAAUCCAGCCCUUCAGCAUUGUCCAAUUCAAUUUAUUUAAGAUUUGACGGGUGAAGGUUCGUUGGGUUGUCGCGAAAUUGCUGAGGACGGUCCAGUUGGCUCGUUAUAGCUAUUCUUCAGCAGCUGAGUAGCAAGCUGUUCUUGGAUUCAGAUUGUCAGUUGUCUUGCUGGUAGGCCUCCAUCAGCUGGUGGCCUCAUUGCUAUGUUACUUCUUUGAUUCUAGUUAUCUGCAGCUAUAGGGAGUCAUAAGUGAAUUUAGUUUGGGGUUGAAGGUAUCUUCUUAAUUUUAAAGGUUGACAUUGAGCGUCAAAUUUUGGUUUUGUACCUUUUCUUGAAAUUUGGAUUUGGAGAAUAUUAUUUAGCAAGUUAUGUUAUUUUGAGAUUACUGAAAUACAAAGGAGACUCUGUCUUUUUUUAUAAAUUUAUGCGGACGUAUUUAUCGUGGUGAA